Molecule: ribosomal RNA, 235 nt
Filed under: uncultured Actinomycetales bacterium
Lineage: Bacteria; Bacillati; Actinomycetota; Actinomycetes; Actinomycetales
Description: partial 16S ribosomal RNA
Rfam family: Bacterial small subunit ribosomal RNA
Source: RNAcentral
GGCGAACGGGUGAGUAACACGUGGGUAAUAUGCCCUGCACUCUGGGAUAAGCCUGGGAAACUGGGUCUAAUACUGGAUAUGACCUUUCUCCUUAUGGGGUUUGGUGGAAAGUUUUUCGGUGUAGGAUGAGCCCGCGGCCUAUCAGCUUGUUGGUGGGGUGAUGGCCUACCAAGGCGACGACGGGUAGCCGGCCUGAGAGGGUGAUCGGCCACAUUGGGACUGAGAUACGGCCCAG